This 563-nucleotide ribosomal RNA is filed under the name Bacillus subtilis. RNAcentral's name for it is "bacterial SSU rRNA". It matches the Rfam family "Bacterial small subunit ribosomal RNA", at positions 565 to 1126 of the family's 1533-position model. The record is from RNAcentral. Lineage: Bacteria; Bacillati; Bacillota; Bacilli; Caryophanales; Bacillaceae.
GGGCUCGCAGGCGGUUUCUUAAGUCUGAUGUGAAAGCCCCCGGCUCAACCGGGGAGGGUCAUUGGAAACUGGGAAACUUGAGUGCAGAAGAGGAGAGUGGAAUUCCACGUGUAGCGGUGAAAUGCGUAGAGAUGUGGAGGAACACCAGUGGCGAAGGCGACUCUCUGGUCUGUAACUGACGCUGAGGAGCGAAAGCGUGGGGAGCGAACAGGAUUAGAUACCCUGGUAGUCCACGCCGUAAACGAUGAGUGCUAAGUGUUAGGGGGUUUCCGCCCCUUAGUGCUGCAGCUAACGCAUUAAGCACUCCGCCUGGGGAGUACGGUCGCAAGACUGAAACUCAAAGGAAUUGACGGGGGCCCGCACAAGCGGUGGAGCAUGUGGUUUAAUUCGAAGCAACGCGAAGAACCUUACCAGGUCUUGACAUCCUCUGACAACCCUAGAGAUAGGGCUUUCCCUUCGGGGACAGAGUGACAGGUGGUGCAUGGUUGUCGUCAGCUCGUGUCGUGAGAUGUUGGGUUAAGUCCCGCAACGAGCGCAACCCUUGAUCUUAGUUGCCAGCAUUC